AGGGCCUGCAUCGACGGUGCUAGGAGCAAUCAGCAGGCAAGGCACGUAAUUUCGGCUUUGGCUUGGUCCUUGAGUGCAGCAGCAAGGCAACCUCCUCCACGGCACAUGAAGCAGAGCAGACCCACGACGCCUACAAUGUAUUCGAUGGAAUGCCGCACUAGAACAGCAGGCUGGUGCACAACGUGAGGAGCAGACAGCUUGCAGAAGCAGCCACGCGGCCCAAGGUAAUCGCCGCAUAAAGAUGAGUAGCAAAGGAUACAAGCGGCGGCGGCGGCGGCAGCGGAGACCCUCAAAGCACCACUAUCUCCAAGCGGGUCGCGUCCCCCGGCGCCACCGCUGGAGUACGGACAGCUGCCUCUGUGUCUGGACUCGCCACCGCCUCUCUCGCCGACACCAUCACAGCAACCUUCCUGGAGAUGCGCGCACACGCAGAGGAGCGUCAGAUUGAAAUAUACCUUGUGCGUACGUAAUUGUACAGACAUAUGAUCGACGAGCUGAACUCGUACAGAGAUACAC
Long non-coding RNA from Panicum virgatum (switchgrass), 516 nucleotides. RefSeq lists it as uncharacterized. The record is from RefSeq and is a predicted model, not a curated record. Lineage: Eukaryota; Viridiplantae; Streptophyta; Magnoliopsida; Poales; Poaceae. The transcript has 2 exons.